UCUCCCGUGUUCCAGACACACUUUGGGCACCACUUUACCCUGGUCCACCUGAAAGUCAACAGAGUCCCUCGAGGGGAAGUGAGAUUUGAUGCGACAAGAGAUACCAGAGAUGGAGACAAGACAGGAUUCUCAUCAAGACUUGUUUAUUCAAGAGAAGAAUCCAGGCAUAAAGUCCCUAACUGCAACACGAAGAAAAGUCAGAAUGUUCAAACCAUGGGAACAAUGCAGCAAUAAAUCCGUGCAGAGUUAGUAAGUGAGAGAUCAGAACAGCAUGAGGAGCCAAACACAACAGGAUGUGCAAAACUGAAUCAGGAAGCAACUCAUAGAGGGAUCUGUCCACGAACUG
Long non-coding RNA from Microtus oregoni (creeping vole), 346 nucleotides. RefSeq lists it as uncharacterized. NCBI's taxonomy places the organism in Eukaryota, Metazoa, Chordata, Mammalia, Rodentia, Cricetidae. The transcript is spliced from 3 exons. The record is from RefSeq and is a predicted model, not a curated record.